GGAUGAACGCUAGCUACAGGCUUAACACAUGCAAGUCGAGGGGCAGCAUUUCAGUUUGCUUGCAAACUGGAGAUGGCGACCGGCGCACGGGUGAGUAACACGUAUCCAACCUGCCGAUAACUCGGGGAUAGCCUUUCGAAAGAAAGAUUAAUACCCGAUGGCAUAAUUAGACCGCAUGGUCUUAUUAUUAAAGAAUUUCGGUUAUCGAUGGGGAUGCGUUCCAUUAGGCAGUUGGUGAGGUAACGGCUCACCAAACCUUCGAUGGAUAGGGGUUCUGAGAGGAAGGUCCCCCACAUUGGAACUGAGACACGGUCCAAACUCCUACGGGAGGCAGCAGUGAGGAAUAUUGGUCAAUGGGCGCAGGCCUGAACCAGCCAAGUAGCGUGAAGGAUGACUGCCCUAUGGGUUGUAAACUUCUUUUAUAUGGGAAUAAAGUUUUCCACGUGUGGAAUUUUGUAUGUACCAUAUGAAUAAGGAUCGGCUAACUCCGUGCCAGCAGCCGCGGUAAUACGGAGGAUCCGAGCGUUAUCCGGAUUUAUUGGGUUUAAAGGGAGCGUAGGUGGACAGUUAAGUCAGUUGUGAAAGUUUGCGGCUCAACCGUAAAAUUGCAGUUGAUACUGGCUGUCUUGAGUACAGUAGAGGUGGGCGGAAUUCGUGGUGUAGCGGUGAAAUGCUUAGAUAUCACGAAGAACUCCGAUUGCGAAGGCAGCUCACUGGACUGCAACUGACACUGAUGCUCGAAAGUGUGGGUAUCAAACAGGAUUAGAUACCCUGGUAGUCCACACAGUAAACGAUGAAUACUCGCUGUUUGCGAUAUAUAGUAAGCGGCCAAGCGAAAGCAUUAAGUAUUCCACCUGGGGAGUACGCCGGCAACGGUGAAACUCAAAGGAAUUGACGGGGGCCCGCACAAGCGGAGGAACAUGUGGUUUAAUUCGAUGAUACGCGAGGAACCUUACCCGGGCUUAAAUUGCAUUUGAAUAAUCUGGAAACAGGUUAGCCGCAAGGCAAAUGUGAAGGUGCUGCAUGGUUGUCGUCAGCUCGUGCCGUGAGGUGUCGGCUUAAGUGCCAUAACGAGCGCAACCCUUAUCUUUAGUUACUAACAGGUCAUGCUGAGGACUCUAGAGAGACUGCCGUCGUAAGAUGUGAGGAAGGUGGGGAUGACGUCAAAUCAGCACGGCCCUUACGUCCGGGGCUACACACGUGUUACAAUGGGGGGUACAGAAGGCAGCUACCUGGUGACAGGAUGCUAAUCCCAAAAGCCUCUCUCAGUUCGGAUCGAAGUCUGCAACCCGACUUCGUGAAGCUGGAUUCGCUAGUAAUCGCGCAUCAGCCAUGGCGCGGUGAAUACGUUCCCGGGCCUUGUACACACCGCCCGUCAAGCCAUGAAAGCCGGGGGUACCUGAAGUACGUAACCGCAAGGAGCGUCCUAGGGUAAAAC
RNAcentral lists this ribosomal RNA (1438 nucleotides) under uncultured organism. RNAcentral describes it as "SSU rRNA". It matches the Rfam family "Bacterial small subunit ribosomal RNA". The record is from RNAcentral.